UGUUUAUCAAAAACAUGUCCUUUAGGAUUAAAUUUAAGGUCUAACCUGCCCACUGAAAAAUUGAAUGGCCGCAGUAUUUUAACUGUGCAAAGGUAGCAUAAUCAUUAGUCUUUUAAUUGAAGGCUUGUAUGAAUGGUUGGACAAGAUAUAUAUUGUUUCAUAUAAAUUUAUAGAAUUUUAUUUUUUAGUUAAAAAGCUAAAAUUUUAUUAAAAGACGAGAAGACCCUAUAGAUCUUUAUAAUUAUUAAGUUUUAUUUAUUAAGAAUAUUUUAUAUUUAAUUUAGAUAAUUAUUUUAUUGGGGUGAUAGUAAGAUUAAUUGAACUCUUAUUUAAAUUAAUACAUAAAUUAAUGAUUAAUUGAUCCAAUAUUAUUGAUCAGUAAAAUAAGUUACCUUAGGGAUAACAGCGUAAUUUUUUUAGAGAGUUCAUAUCGAUAAAAAAGAUUGCGACCUCGAUGUUGGAUUAAGAGAUAAAUUUGG
This 479-nucleotide ribosomal RNA is filed under the name Stenobasipteron wiedemanni. RNAcentral's name for it is "partial large subunit ribosomal RNA". It matches the Rfam family "Bacterial large subunit ribosomal RNA", at positions 1801 to 2550 of the family's 2925-position model. The record is from RNAcentral. Lineage: Eukaryota; Metazoa; Arthropoda; Insecta; Diptera; Nemestrinidae.